UACGGAGGAUGCAAGCGUUAUCCGGAAUGAUUGGGCGUAAAGCGUCCGCAGGUGGCUAUGUAAGUCUGCUGUUAAAGAGUCUGGCUCAACCAGAUAAAGGCAGUGGAAACUACAUGGCUAGAGUGCGUUCGGGGCAGAGGAAAUUCCUGGUGUAGCGGUGAAAUGCGUAGAGAUCAGGAAGAACACCGGUGGCGAAAGCGCUCUGCUAGGCCGCAACUGACACUGAGGGACGAAAGCUAGGGGAGCGAAUGGG
This 253-nucleotide ribosomal RNA is filed under the name uncultured bacterium. RNAcentral describes it as "partial 16S ribosomal RNA". It matches the Rfam family "Bacterial small subunit ribosomal RNA", at positions 524 to 776 of the family's 1533-position model. The record is from RNAcentral.